This 468-nucleotide ribosomal RNA is filed under the name uncultured bacterium. Its description in RNAcentral is "partial 16S ribosomal RNA". It matches the Rfam family "Bacterial small subunit ribosomal RNA", at positions 28 to 507 of the family's 1533-position model. The record is from RNAcentral.
GACGAACGCUGGCGGCGUGCUUAACACAUGCAAGUCGAACGGAAAGGCCCUGCUUUUGUGGGGUGCUCGAGUGGCGAACGGGUGAGUAACACGUGAGUAACCUGCCCUUGACUUUGGGAUAACUUCAGGAAACUGGGGCUAAUACCGGAUAGGAGCUCCUGCUGCAUGGUGGGGGUUGGAAAGUUUCGGCGGUUGGGGAUGGACUCGCGGCUUAUCAGCUUGUUGGUGGGGUAGUGGCUUACCAAGGCUUUGACGGGUAGCCGGCCUGAGAGGGUGACCGGCCACAUUGGGACUGAGAUACGGCCCAGACUCCUACGGAAGGCAGCAGUGGGGAAUAUUGCACAAUGGGCGGAAGCCUGAUGCAGCAACGCCGCGGGCGGGAUGACGGCCUUCGGGUUGUAAACCGCUUUCGCCUGUGACGAAGCGUGAGUGACGGUAAUGGGUAAAGAAGCACCGGCUAACUACGUG